UAUGGCGGCCACAGCGGAGGGGCCACACCCGUUCUCAUCAGAACACGGAAGUAAAGUCCUCCAGCGAUUCUGGCAGUACUAUGGUGCGAGAGCCCAUGGGAGACCAGAGACGCUGCCAGCC
This 121-nucleotide ribosomal RNA is filed under the name Methanobacteriota archaeon. Lineage: Archaea; Methanobacteriati; Methanobacteriota. The record is from RNAcentral.